GUUACGGCGAUAGGGGGCAGCCGUGCUCCAGGGGGGCGUACCCCACGCAGAGGGAUAAAAGCGGUGAUCCGCUGGAUAAGACCCCUUUUCGUUGUGCGGUUUUGCUGGGUGCAAGCUGUCUGAACGUGAAAUAAACCUGAUGCAACGACGUCCGCAGCAUCCCGCCCGCCGUGCACCUGCCCGCUCCCGUUCCCGCGGAAGCCGCCCGGAUCCGGAUCCACCCCAGCACCACUCCGUGGCCACUGGGACAGUUGUGUCCCACGGACAGCCGGUUUCCUGGGCAUCCCGCACACGGUGGGCUCACCAGCCAAGGCCCCUCCGGGGGGACGACCCCACACAGACUCCGGCUCCGUUUCGCGGUCUGACGCUCACCGACCGCCACCCGGCCGAUCCCCUACAGCCCCUCACUGCGGAGGAGAAGCGGAUCCUAUGCCCGCUCUGCUUGGUCCCCGAACUGCACCGUCCGACACACCGCCGGGGCCCACUUCACCAGGCCCGAACGGAGGCCGCCCGGACAGCCAACGACGUGACAACAGCCCUCUCCACCCUCAGGCGGCUCAGACCCGAACUUCUGGUGGAGACCAGGCCUCCCCCUCCUCCGCCGCCUGCCCCCUCUUCAGCCAUGGACGACGCCGUACUAGACCUGUCGGACGACCUCAUGACCCUGUAAGGGAGGGGGGGUGUGGCGAUAAGAGAGCGCCACGGGUUACGGCGAUAGGGGGCAGCCGUGCUCCAGGGGGGCGUACCCCACGCAGAGGGAUAAAAGCGGUGAUCCGCUGGAUAAGACCCCUUUUCGUUGUGCGGUUUUGCUGGGUGCAAGCUGUCUGAACGUGAAAUAAACCUGGUAUGUCUGUUUGAA
This is a long non-coding RNA of Ornithodoros turicata, 859 nucleotides long. RefSeq lists it as uncharacterized. The transcript has 2 exons. NCBI's taxonomy places the organism in Eukaryota, Metazoa, Arthropoda, Arachnida, Ixodida, Argasidae. The record is from RefSeq and is a predicted model, not a curated record.